UACCAAUUGUCCGCCAAACAACUACGAGUUACACUUAAAACUUAAAAGACUUGACGGUACUUCACCACAACCUAGAGGAGCCUGUCUAAUAACCGAUAAUCCACGAUUAAUCUCACCCUUUCUUGCCCAACAGUCUAUAUACCGCCGUCGCCAGCCUACCUUGUAAAAGAAAUAAAGUAAGCCAAACAGUACUACACUAAAACGACAGGUCGAGGUGUAACCAAUGAAAGGGGCUAAGAUGGGCUACAUUCUCCAACCGAGAAUACGAACAGCACUAUGAAAUAAGUGCCCGAAGGCGGAUUUAGCAGUAAGAUAAGAAUAAAACACUUAACUGAACACAACGCAAUGAAGUGCGUACACACCGCCCGUCAUCCCUGUCACCAAAACAUCCAAUAUUAAUAAACCAACGAAAAAACCAAGCAGGGCAAGUCGUAACAUGGUAAGUGUACUGGAAAGUGUACUUAGAAA
This 468-nucleotide ribosomal RNA is filed under the name Protobothrops mucrosquamatus (brown spotted pit viper). RNAcentral describes it as "partial 12S ribosomal RNA". It matches the Rfam family "Bacterial small subunit ribosomal RNA", at positions 859 to 1522 of the family's 1533-position model. Lineage: Eukaryota; Metazoa; Chordata; Lepidosauria; Squamata; Viperidae. The record is from RNAcentral.